This 443-nucleotide ribosomal RNA is filed under the name uncultured bacterium. Its description in RNAcentral is "partial 16S ribosomal RNA". It matches the Rfam family "Bacterial small subunit ribosomal RNA", at positions 338 to 795 of the family's 1533-position model. The record is from RNAcentral.
CCUACGGGUGGCAGCAGUGGGGAAUAUUGGGCAAUGGGGGGAACCCUGAUCCAGCGACGCCGCGUGAGUGAAGAAGUCUUUCGGUAUGUAAAGCUCUAUCAGCAGGGAAGAAAGACAUGACGUUCCCUACCUACGAAGCCCCGGCUAACUACGUGCCAGCAGCCGCGGUAAUACGUAGGGGGCAAGCGUUAUCCGGAUUUCCUGGGUGUAAAGGGAGCGUAGACGGCGGGGCAAGUCUGAAGGGAAAGGCGGGGGCCCAACCUCAGGACUGCUUUGGAAACUGUAUGGCUGGAGUGCAGGAGAGGCAAGUGGAAUUCCUAGUGUAGCGGGGAAAUGCGUAGAUAUCAGGAGGAACACUAGUGGCGAAGGCGGCUUACUGGACUGUAACUGACGUUGAGGCUCGAAAGCGUGGGGAGCAAACAGGAUUAGAUACCCCAGUAGUC